Long non-coding RNA from Myotis daubentonii (Daubenton's bat), 2307 nucleotides. RefSeq lists it as uncharacterized. The record is from RefSeq and is a predicted model, not a curated record. Lineage: Eukaryota; Metazoa; Chordata; Mammalia; Chiroptera; Vespertilionidae.
GUAAGUUCAUGCCGUAACGACCCUUGUCACCCUUGCUUAGGAACGUCCUGGCCGGCUGGUGUGGACAGUCAGGUGCCCGUAAACUUGGCAGAUACACAAAUGCUACCAACAUGUGGCCUUUCUGUCAGUGCGACGCCGUUUCUGACCUGCGACGUCUUGGCGCUUCCCCAGCCCUCGGCGCCCAGACCUGUGGCCUAGAGAACAGUCCCAGCGCUCGGACGUGGAGCCUGCAGCACCUCCCUCGGAAGGACGGACGGAAGGAAGGACUGCACGCCCCAUGCAGGUCGUACAUCAUGGGGUUACCAAACAGAUCCGUCUGCGAUAUCUGGAAAGUGAUCAUCAUGUCGUCUUCCACGCUCCCCUCAUACUCCAACAGAUCCUUCAAGCUCUGAAACAGAACCUAACAACAGAAACGGAAAACCAAGGUCACCACGGAGCCGCAGACUGCACCCUCUGUAGCACUCUCGGAAGAACAGACUUGGACCAUAAGAUUGAAACACAGCGCCCUGGCCGGCGUGUUCAGUGGUUAGAGCACUGGUCCGCACCUGGAGGGUAGUGGGUUUGAUUCUCCAUCGGACAGGUUGCAGGUCCGAUCUCCACCCUCAGGACAUGUGUGGGGAGCAACCAAUUGGCGUGUCUCUAUCACAUCGGUGUGUCUCUCCCUCCCACCCCCACCCUCAGAAAAAAAAUCAAUGGGAAAAUUUACCCUCCCUGCUCGGGUGAAGAUGAAAAAAACACAGCUCCCAACAUGGGAACUACAGGUGGCGGCGAUGCCCACUCUGUGCUCGGGAGGACGGGGGCGAGGAGACACACCGACUGUGGCCACCAGGCCCUUCCCCGUGGCUUCGCCGGGUAACCCCGUGGGACCAGCCCCCCAGAACCCGCCUGCAGAGAGCCGUGUCUAUAAAGAGCCCGAGGCUUUCGAGGGCUCGUGGACUCGGACAGGAGACGGCGCUGGUGCUGGCGGAGACCGACGCAGGUCGGGGACACUCACCGGGUGGGAGUCGCCCAGGUCCCGGAAGGUGCCCUUCUUGCCCAUGAGCUUCCUGUAGACCACCAUGGGGAAGUGCACGUCCAGGAUGCAGUUGUUGUAGAUGGCCAGGCCCAGCACGAUGCCGAUCAGCGUGAACUGGCCCUCCGUUUCAAACGAGGACGGAUUGAACCAGAACAGCUUUGUGUUUUCAUCGUAGGUGAACAUGCCUGUAAGAAAAGGUUUUGUAAAAUACAAAAUAUUAAAGACUGAGGAGCAAUACAAACAGGAUAAUUACACAGGCAAACACACAGAAUAGGCAUACAGGAAUGUUUCUCUCUAUUACAUUAGCACUUGAGAAACCAAAGCUCACAUAUACGAUGAUUACAAAUUGUGGCAAAGGUAGCACUGUCCGUAAUUUUAAAGAAGCCAAGGAAACAAGCAAUUUCUUUGGCAUUACCAAAAAGUUAGAUUCAAGUUCUCUACUCUUCUAACACAAAGUUAAUUUGCAUUCAUACUUUAUCUACCAAAUGGCUGAAAAACGCAGAGAGAAAAGGCUGUAUUUUGAAAUUUUUUCACUUUAAAAACAUCUUUAACCCCCAAGUGCUGCUUUAAGGCACAAUUCUGGGUCGUGAAGGGAAAGUCUGUUUUUCCAGAAGUGCACAGGGGCCCCACCAAGUGUGUCCAGCACCUCUCUAACCAAGUCAGGUGAUGCCAACUCCAUACACUCGGAUUAUGUCCACAGCUCAAAGCUGCCUGAUACACUAAUUCUGAGCCAAUAAAUAAAACAAAUGUUGUUUGUAUUCACAGCCCCCUUCAGUUUUUAUGGCCUCCACUAUUCAAAAUCCAAGCUUGGAGACCUGUCUUUUGUCUCACUCAUUUAAAAAGAUAAAUCUUUGGCUCUGCCUGUCUUAACAACCAUUACUACCCUUUAAAUGAACAUCUAAGGACAAGGUUAAUCUUGUAAUUGAAGUUACAAUAUUUUAUUUCACUAAAAUGUUUUUCAGUUGCUAUUGAAAACUAAAUAAAAAUAGUUUAAGAAUUACAUCUGGAGCCCAGCUGGUGAGGCUCCGUGGCUGAGCACUGACCUAUGAACCAGGAGGUCACGGUUCCAUUCCCGGUCAGGGCACAGGCCCGAGUUGUGGGCUCAAACCCCAGUGGGGGGUGUGCAGGAGGCAGCCGAUCCAUGAUUCUCUCUCAUCACUGAUGUUCCUCUCUCCCUCUCCCUCUCCCUCUCCCUGCCUCUGUGAAAUUAAUAUAUUAAGAACAAAUCUGGAAAAAAUGGGGAAUUUCAAGUACAACAAACUUCAGAAAUCAAUACAGCACAUAAAUAAAUA